GACUCCAUGAAGUCGGAAUCGCUAGUAAUCGUAGAUCAGAAUGCUACGGUGAAUACGUUCCCGGGCCUUGUACACACCGCCCGUCACACCAUGGGAGUGGGUUGCAAAAGAAGUAGGUAGCUUAACCUUCGGGAGGGCGCUUACCACUUUGUGAUUCAUGACUGGGGUGAAGUCGUAACAAGGUAACCGUAGGGGAACCUGCGGUUGGAUCACCUCCUUACCUUAAAGAA
Molecule: ribosomal RNA, 230 nt
Filed under: Klebsiella pneumoniae
Lineage: Bacteria; Pseudomonadati; Pseudomonadota; Gammaproteobacteria; Enterobacterales; Enterobacteriaceae
Description: partial 16S ribosomal RNA
Rfam family: Bacterial small subunit ribosomal RNA
Source: RNAcentral